This 66-nucleotide transfer RNA is filed under the name Schistosoma mansoni. The record is from RNAcentral. Lineage: Eukaryota; Metazoa; Platyhelminthes; Trematoda; Strigeidida; Schistosomatidae.
UAGUAUAUAUGAUGUUAAGAUUUCACCUUAUUUAAUGUAUUUAAAUAGCGGUCAUUCAUAACGUGU